CAAGUCGAACGGUGAAGAGGAGCUUGCUCCUUGGAUCAGUGGCGAACGGGUGAGUAACACGUGAGCAAUCUGCCCUUGACUCUGGGAUAACUGCGGGAAACUGUAGCUAAUACCGGAUAUUACCUUGGAAGGCAUCUUCUGGGGUGGAAAGAAUUUUGGUCAAGGAUGAGCUCGCGGCCUAUCAGCUAGUUGGUGAGGUAAUGGCUCACCAAGGCGACGACGGGUAGCCGGCCUGAGAGGGUGACCGGCCACACUGGGACUGAGACACGGCCCAGACUCCUACGGGAGGCAGCAGUGGGGAAUAUUGCACAAUGGGCGCAAGCCUGAUGCAGCAACGCCGCGUGAGGGACGACGGCCUUCGGGUUGUAAACCUCUUUUAGUAGGGAAGAAGCGACUGGGUUUUCCUGGGAGUGACGGUACCUGCAGAAAAAGCACCGGCUAACUACGUGCCAGCAGCCGCGGUAAUACGUAGGGUGCAAGCGUUGUCCGGAAUUAUUGGGCGUAAAGAGCUCGUAGGCGGUUUGUCGCGUCUGCUGUGAAAACCCGAGGCUCAACCUCGGGCCUGCAGUGGGUACGGGCAGACUAGAGUGCGGUAGGGGAGAUUGGAAUUCCUGGUGUAGCGGUGGAAUGCGCAGAUAUCAGGAGGAACACCAAUGGCGAAGGCAGAUCUCUGGGCCGUAACUGACGCUGAGGAGCGAAAGCAUGGGGAGCGAACAGGAUUAGAUACCCUGGUAGUCCAUGCCGUAAACGUUGGGAACUAGAUGUGGGGACCAUUCCACGG
This 781-nucleotide ribosomal RNA is filed under the name Cryobacterium sp. N4_79_2. RNAcentral's name for it is "bacterial SSU rRNA". It matches the Rfam family "Bacterial small subunit ribosomal RNA", at positions 58 to 837 of the family's 1533-position model. Lineage: Bacteria; Bacillati; Actinomycetota; Actinomycetes; Micrococcales; Microbacteriaceae. The record is from RNAcentral.